GGGACCUGAUACAGAAAAAUGGAAAUACCUCUCCCAUGUCUCCCAUAUCUUUGGUUCUGAAAUACUAAAAUAAAUAAAUGCUUUUUUUUUUUUUUUUUUUUAAAUCACAGAGUCAAGUCUAAGUGAUUCAUGCAAAAUAACAGUAACAAAUUGCUAGACUACAGGAGGCAAGUAUUGGGCUCCAGAGAGAAAGAUCUGUAAGAGGCUGGGAGAUGAUCAGAAGUAGCCCAUGGAUCCUGGGAGGCUUGCAGACCACAAACUGAAGAUGACUGUGCUAUGGGGAACGUCAUCGUUGAUUGAAUUCAAGUGAUUAAAGCAUCAGAGAAGUUCUGGUUAGUCCUUCAACUACUCAGAGAACAUGAAAGGGUACUGGUCUGUGGAAUUCAAGUGUGAGAUUUGGCAGGACUCAGAUGUCAAAGACAAAAAUGGGGACAGGGAUGGUUUGGGGACAAUAAUAACACUAAUUCUUCUUCGUUUGAAUUGCUCUUCAGUAACAGAAAUGACUGAAAUAUUUCCUGAUGGAAAGAGGACUAUGCAGAAAGUCAGCAGGGUGGUCAUUCAACUAGUGUGCUGCUCAGAAAGCUGCUCAGCUCCCCAGGUCUGGGGCUUCCCAUUGUUGAACUACUUAAAUUUCUUACCAGGGA
RNAcentral lists this long non-coding RNA (644 nucleotides) under Anser brachyrhynchus (Pink-footed goose). RNAcentral's name for it is "lncRNA (ENSABRG00000020400.1)". Lineage: Eukaryota; Metazoa; Chordata; Aves; Anseriformes; Anatidae. The record is from RNAcentral.